GGGAAUUAGCUCAAUUGGGAGAGCACCUGCUUUGCAAGCAGGGGGUCAGGGGUUCGAAUCCCCUAUUCUCC
This 71-nucleotide transfer RNA is filed under the name bovine gut metagenome. It matches the Rfam family "tRNA". From Rfam's summary of the family: Transfer RNA (tRNA) molecules are approximately 80 nucleotides in length. Their secondary structure includes four short double-helical elements and three loops (D, anti-codon, and T loops). Further hydrogen bonds mediate the characteristic L-shaped molecular structure. tRNAs have two regions of fundamental functional importance: the anti-codon, which is responsible for specific mRNA codon recognition, and the 3' end, to which the tRNAs corresponding amino acid is attached (by aminoacyl-tRNA synthetases). tRNAs cope with the degeneracy of the genetic code in two manners: having more than one tRNA (with a specific anti-codon) for a particular amino acid; and 'wobble' base-pairing, i.e. permitting non-standard base-pairing at the 3rd anti-codon position. The record is from RNAcentral.